Molecule: transfer RNA, 68 nt
Filed under: Marmota monax (woodchuck)
Lineage: Eukaryota; Metazoa; Chordata; Mammalia; Rodentia; Sciuridae
Description: tRNA.Ala
Source: RNAcentral
GGAUGUGGCUCAAGCGGAAGCGUGCUUGCCUGGCAUGCGUGCGGCGCUGGGUUCGAUCCUCAGCACCA